Molecule: ribosomal RNA, 468 nt
Filed under: uncultured bacterium
Lineage: Bacteria
Description: partial 16S ribosomal RNA
Rfam family: Bacterial small subunit ribosomal RNA
Source: RNAcentral
GACGAACGCUGGCGGCGUGCUUAACACAUGCAAGUCGAACGGAAAGGCCCUGCUUUUGUGGGGUGCUCGAGUGGCGAACGGGUGAGUAACACGUGAGUAACCUGACCUUGACUUUGGGAUAACUUCAGGAAACUGGGGCUAAUACCGGAUAGGAGGUCCUGCUGCAUGGUGGGGGUUGGAAAGUUUCGGCGGGUGGGGAUGGACUCGCGACUUAUCAGCUUGUUGGUGGGGUAGUGGCUUACCAAGGCUUUGACGGGUAGCCGGCCUGAGAGGGUGACCGGCCACAUUGGGACUGAGAUACGGCCCAGACUCCUACGGGGGGCAGCAGUGGGGAAUAUUGCACAAUGAGCGGAAACCUGAUGCAGCAACACCGCGUACGGGAUGACGGCCUUCGAGGUGUAAACCGCUUUCGCCUGUGACGAAGCGUGAGUGACGGUAAUGGAUAAAGAAGCACCGGCUAACUACGUG